This 214-nucleotide microRNA precursor is filed under the name Paramuricea clavata. The record is from RNAcentral. Lineage: Eukaryota; Metazoa; Cnidaria; Anthozoa; Malacalcyonacea; Plexauridae.
GUUCAUGACCUCGAUAUUCGACGUCAUAAACACCAUCAAGUUUGGUGUUUAUGACGUCGAUAUACGAUGUCAUAAACACCAUCUAGUUUGAUGUUUAUGACGUCGAUAUACGACGUAAUAAACACAAUCAAAUUUGCUGUUUAUGACGUCGAUAUACGACGUCAUAACACCAUCACGUUUACUGUUUAUGACGUCGAUAUUUGACAUCAUAAAC